Molecule: non-coding RNA, 22 nt
Filed under: Arabidopsis thaliana (thale cress)
Lineage: Eukaryota; Viridiplantae; Streptophyta; Magnoliopsida; Brassicales; Brassicaceae
Source: RNAcentral
UCUGCCUAUUAACUCUCUUUGU